UACGGGGGGGGCAAGCGUUGUUCGGAAUUACUGGGCGUAAAGAGCUCGUAGGCGGUUUGUCGCGUCUGCUGUGAAAUCCCGAGGCUCAACCUCGGGUCUGCAGUGGGUACGGGCAGACUGGAGUGCGGUAGGGGUGACUGGAAUUCCUGGUGUAGCGGUGGAAUGCGCAGAUAUCAGGAGGAACACCGAUGGCGAAGGCAGGUCUCUGGGCAUUAACUGACGCUGAGGAGCGAAAGCAUGGGGAGCGAACAGG
Molecule: ribosomal RNA, 253 nt
Filed under: uncultured bacterium
Lineage: Bacteria
Description: partial 16S ribosomal RNA
Rfam family: Bacterial small subunit ribosomal RNA
Source: RNAcentral